GUACUCAUCUGUAAUUUAUUCAUUUAUAUCAAUAUCUGCUUCCCUCUCCAGACUGUAAGCUCCCAUAGGGACGGGAUUUGUCUAUCAAUUUUGCUGUACUGUUAUGUUGUUAUAGGGCACUCUCCCAAGCUCUUAGUUAAUUGUUAUGCCAUUUCUCCUUUUUUCAGCAUGUGCAGAGUAGUAGAUGAUGUGCUCAGUUCGAUGGGAAAUGUCUAAUUCCAAACCAAUUCAGUUCACGUUUUCCUAGGCUGUCAAACUCCAAUCAGUUCAUUUCAUUCUUGAUUGUUUCCAGCUGUCCCUGGUUCAUAUUUCACAAAUUCCAUGUAUCAAUACUAAGCAUAUUUCUGCAGUUUUGGAUACUUCAGGUCUCUCAUGGCAAUAUCAGCAACCAGAGGGGCCUAAGGCUUUAUUCCAGCAAUUGUCACAAACACCAUGGUGCUCUGAAUCAUUGUCUGCUUUCCUCCAGUAAUUCGUUGAGUGCCUUCCAUCCUGAGGAAUUCAUCUUCAAGCACUAUAUCCAUAGUGUUUCUGUUACAUUGACAACUCAUGAAGACAGCUUUCAGAUGUUUGUUUAGGAAGAUCUUCUAUCACACUCGACCAUUGUGGAGCAAUAUCAUGGUGAGGAUCGUGUCUCCGCCUUCCUUUGGGAGCAUCUCCACCUGGAUUUCUGCCAACUAAAUCUCAACAGGUCUAAGACUGAUCCCCUUAUCUUGCCUCCCAAACCCUGUCUUCUCCCUGACUUCCCUGUCACUGUGAAUGGCACUACCAUCCUUCCCGU
Ornithorhynchus anatinus (platypus) is the source of this 778-nucleotide long non-coding RNA. RefSeq lists it as uncharacterized. Lineage: Eukaryota; Metazoa; Chordata; Mammalia; Monotremata; Ornithorhynchidae. The transcript is spliced from 3 exons. The record is from RefSeq and is a predicted model, not a curated record.